GGAUGGUCCAAAGAUAGUGAGUUAUUUCAAUUGAUUGUUCACAGUCAGUUUUCUUGUUUUACUCUUUUCCCCAUUCUCACCACUGCACUUGACUAGUCUAAA
Molecule: Y RNA, 102 nt
Filed under: Prolemur simus (greater bamboo lemur)
Lineage: Eukaryota; Metazoa; Chordata; Mammalia; Primates; Lemuridae
Description: Y RNA (ENSPSMG00000021958.1)
Rfam family: Y RNA
About the family: Y RNAs are components of the Ro ribonucleoprotein particle (Ro RNP), in association with Ro60 and La proteins. The Y RNAs and Ro60 and La proteins are well conserved, but the function of the Ro RNP is not known.
Source: Rfam by way of RNAcentral